GUAUGGGGCGAGCGUUGUCCGGAAUUAUUGGGCGUAAAGGGUACGUAGGCGGUUUUUUAAGUCAGGUGUGAAAGCCUGAGGCUUAACCUCAUUAUAGCACUUGAAACUGGAAGACUUGAGUGAAGGAGAGGAAAGUGGAAUUCCUAGUGUAGCGGUGAAAUGCGUAGAUAUUAGGAGGAAURCCGGUGGCGAAGCGCGACUUUCUGGACUUUUACUGACGCUCARGYRCGAAAGCGUGGGGAGCAAACAGGAUUAGAUACCCUGGUAGUCCACGCCGUAAACGAUGAWUGCUAGGUGUUGGGAGUCAAACUCUCAGGCUGCCCGAAGCUUAACACAUUAAGCAUUCCGCCUGGGGAGUACGGWGGCAACUCUG
This 373-nucleotide ribosomal RNA is filed under the name uncultured Parvimonas sp. RNAcentral's name for it is "bacterial SSU rRNA". It matches the Rfam family "Bacterial small subunit ribosomal RNA", at positions 527 to 896 of the family's 1533-position model. The record is from RNAcentral. Lineage: Bacteria; Bacillati; Bacillota; Tissierellia; Tissierellales; Peptoniphilaceae.